RNAcentral lists this ribosomal RNA (460 nucleotides) under uncultured bacterium. RNAcentral's name for it is "partial 16S ribosomal RNA". It matches the Rfam family "Bacterial small subunit ribosomal RNA", at positions 338 to 795 of the family's 1533-position model. The record is from RNAcentral.
CCUACGGGUGGCUGCAGUGAGGAAUAUUGGUCAAUGGACGAGAGUCUGAACCAGCCAAGUAGCGUGAAGGAUGACUGCCCUAUGGGUUGUAAACUUCUUUUAUACGGGAAUAAACCGUUCUACGUGUAGGAUUUUGUAUGUACCGUAUGAAUAAGGAUCGGCUAACUCCGUGCCAGCAGCCGCGGUAAUACGGAGGAUCCGAGCGUUAUCCGGAUUUAUUGGGUUUAAAGGGAGCGUAGGUGGAUUGUUAAGUCAGUUGUGAAAGUUUGCGGCUCAACCGUAAAAUUGCAGUUGAAACUGGCAGUCUUGAGUACAGUAGAGGUAGGCGGAAUUCGUGGUGUAGCGGUGAAAUGCUUAGAGAUCACGAAGAACGCCGAUUGCGAAGGCAGCUUACUGGACUGCAACUGACGCUGAGGCUCGAAAGUGUGGGUAUCAAACAGGAUUAGAUACCCGAGUAGUC